AGAGUUAAUAUUUUUUUCCUCCAAAAGAGUUGUUUUUGCUCCGUUUUGAGUAAACAACGUAAAAUGUGUCAGUAGAGUGGGAGCAAAAUUACAGAGUAACUGUAACAGAGUUAAAUGUUUCCCUCCUAAUUUCCGUUUAUCUGCCAUUGCUGUAUAUAAUGUUAAAAGACUAACAAUGAAGAUUAAUGACACGCCUGCAUAUAUUUCUAUUGUGAAAAUAAAUAAACAACAUCUCAAAAAAUAUCAUUUAGUAACUAAUUUGAAUCAAACUAAUUAGAAAAACGAACACCUAAAAGUACAUAAACAUAAUAAAAAACUAAAGUAACUGAAACCAUCUUUGGGGGAAAUAUCUGCAAUUAAAUUUUUAAGUUUGGUUCACGUAGCAUUUGCUUACAUAGAGUUUGCGGGCUUUAUGACCUACACGGCACCCAGCCACCAGAGGGCGAUCAAAAUAUUGGCUUCAUUCACCGUGGCUUCCUUUGGUAACGGCCAUAUCGAUCACUGCUGGUUAAGAAGACAAGCUGCUUUUCUGCUGGAUGGUGAAGUAAGUGAAUUUUUUAAAUCUUAGUAUUAAUUUCCAGAAUAUUCGCCUCUGUUUUGAUCUUAGUCAUUUUGCCACGUUUUUUAAUAUUGCAGAGAUAACUUUCUCACGUGAGAACUAAAUUAGUCCAUUAUUUACAGGUUAUAUAAGUUAAUUACAGGCAUAAAAGUUAUCUGGAAAGCACAUAACUAACAUACUGAUUACGAAUGUUAACUGACACGGGUGAGACUUGCUUACUGCCUAUGAAAUGUUUGUAACUUAACAUUUUGGCGGGCGUUUUGAGUUUUACCUCAUGUAUUUGACUCGGUAAAGAGUUAAGUUCGCGUUAGUCAGUUUGGUUUGCAUUAUCCUUUUCGGACAAUAACGUGAGCUGUUUCUCUUGAAACUUAAAGUAUGAUGUUUAACUUUAUGUUUCUGGUUGCUUCAGAAUGCAAACCAACAGCGUUGUCAAAGUAAAGUGAAGUUUAAUUGACAAGCGUCUGGAGUUGUGCACCACAUGAUUCAAACCAACAACGUUGUCAGAGUAAAGUUCAAAGACAGCAAGAAAUAUAUUUUCUCUUCACAACCAUUUACAUUUCACACAUUUUUGGAAUGUGUUGCCAAGAAGUUUAAUCUUACUACAAUGAAUGUCUUUGAUGACAUAAAGACAGAGGUUGAUGAGGAAUAAUAUCUGCUGACACGACCAGACUUUGGUGUCCUAGAAAUCUUCAUCCCAGAAAGCACAACAAGCCUUGAUGGGCACGUCAGAGUCUGAUGGGACCGCAGUGUUGAUUAGAAAUCCUCCUGAAAAAAAUCUAGCCAAGGAACAUCAUCUAGUCCAGAUCGAAAAUAUCCUAAACAGCAUCCCUGGAGGCGAUAAGGUGACAUGGUGAAAAUCUUGGUAGCACAUUUAACAAAGGAACAUGGAUCUUCCCCUUACCGAAGUUUGAAGGAAGAAUAUGCAAAGGGUAUUAUCUCCAUAUUCCCAUGCUUUGCUGACCCCAGGAGCAAGCUUGGUUAUGAGCAUUAUUACAAUGCAGAAGAUGGAAGUGGAUAUUUGGCGUGGAGAUUAAAACUCAAGCAUCAGAGGGACGGAUAAAAUGCCCACGGCAACCACAAACAGGUGCAUGACUUGCAGAUUGAUCAAGAUUUUGGACUUCUAUUUGGUGAGGUGACCACUGCAAAGUUGUUGGAGAAGUGGUUUACCAACAUAAAACCAAAGGUUAUUGCACAGACCUGUGGCCUCAAACAGACUUGUAAGGUCCAAGACCUCAUCCAAAAUGCUGAAGUUGAAGAUGGUAACUAUUGUGCUAUACAUACAUGUGCUAUACAAGUUAUGAAUUCAUGAAGAAUGGCUUUAGAACCAUAGUUUCAAUUGUAUUAUUUAUUGUAUUAUAUUUACAACAUAUAAUCCAUGCUUUUGUUAUUUAGAGUCCCAAAUGAAAACUAUUUUAAACUGUAAAUCUACAACUCGCAUACUAGUCCCUUGUGAAAACCCAUCUGAAAGCGCUCUAUUUUUACACACUAAUUUUGUACUUUAUAUACAAAAAAAUUCUUCUUUUGUACUUCUUGAGAUAAUCUUAAGAACAUCUAAGUAUACUUGUCUGUACUAUUUUGAGACACCAUGAAUAUGAACUGAAAUAUGCUUAAAAUAUAUAUAAAAAAAAUUUAUUUAGGUACCGCUUGUAGUAAACUUAAACCCAUCUUUCAUACAAACAAGUGGUAAAUAAAUAAAUUUUUUAAAUAUAUUUUAAGCACAUUUUAGUUUAUAUUCAUGGCGUCUCAAUAUAGCACAAUAAUUUUUAAGUUUAUUUAGUACAAAAUUAAUGUGCGAAAAGAGAGCAGUACAUUAUUGAAGUGUACUUCUUUUUCAGCUGGGUUUUCACAAGGGCCUAGUACGUAAGUUGCAGAUUUACACUUUUAAAUUGUUUUAAUUUGGGACUCUAAUAACAAACGCAUGGUUUACAUAUCGUAAAUAACGUUUAAAGGGGACAUAUUAUGAAAAUCUGACGUUUUCCUUGUUUAAGUGCUAUAAUUGGGUCCCCAGUGCUUCUAUCAACAGAGAAAAUGUGAAAAAGAUUAACCCAGUAACUUAGUUUUGAUAAACCAUUCUCUGCAAGUAUGUGAAAAAAUAGCUCAUUGAAAUGUGGCUCCCCUUGUGAUGUAAGAAGGGGAUCUUACUAUAAUUAUACUGCCUCUUAAUCUGCACUAUUCAACCACUGCCAUGUAGUGCAGCUCAUUUGCAUUUAAAAGGAUACACCCAAAAUCAACACAUAUUUGCUCACACCUACAAAGUGUCAAUUUUAACAUGUUAUAAUUAAUUGUCUAUAUGGUAUUUUGAGCUAAAACUUCACAUACAUACUCUGGGACAGCAAAUAUUUAUUUCAAAUCUUAAAGUCUUGUGAAAUGUCUCCUUUAACUGUAUUUCCUAAUUUCAGUAUUUGUAGUAGUUUGUCUCUGCUUUGUUUAUUGUACCAUAUUAUUUCAUGUAAUUCUUUAUCUCCUCUCUUGUAUUAUCACUAUUUACAUUAUUUUAGUGUUGUUGUGAAUUGUAAAAAUGCUGUUUAAAA
Misgurnus anguillicaudatus (oriental weatherfish) is the source of this 3090-nucleotide non-coding RNA. The record is from RefSeq and is a predicted model, not a curated record. Lineage: Eukaryota; Metazoa; Chordata; Actinopteri; Cypriniformes; Cobitidae.